RNAcentral lists this ribosomal RNA (253 nucleotides) under uncultured bacterium. Its description in RNAcentral is "partial 16S ribosomal RNA". It matches the Rfam family "Bacterial small subunit ribosomal RNA", at positions 524 to 776 of the family's 1533-position model. The record is from RNAcentral.
UACGGAGGGGGCGAGCGUUAUUCGGAAUCAUUGGGCGUAAAGGGCGCGUAGGCGGCCUAGCAAGUCAGGGGUGAAAUCCCUCGGCUCAACCGGGGAACUGCCUCUGAAACUGCUUGGCUAGAGACCGGGAGAGGGUAGUGGAAUUCCCAGUGUAGCGGUGAAAUGCGUAGAUAUUGGGAGGAACACCAGUGGCGAAGGCGGCUUUCUGGACUGAGACUGACACUGAGGCACGAAAGCGUGGGGAGCAAACAGG